GCUAUCUACAGGCUUAACACAUGCAAGUCGAGGGGCAUCAGGAAGAAAGCUUGCUUUCUUUGCUGGCGACCGGCGCACGGGUGAGUAACACGUAUCCAACCUGCCCUUUACUCGGGGAUAGCCUUUCGAAAGAAAGAUUAAUACCCGAUAGCAUAAUGAUUCCGCAUGGUUUCAUUAUUAAAGGAUUCCGGUAAAGGAUGGGGAUGCGUUCCAUUAGGUUGUUGGUGAGGUAACGGCCCACCAAGCCUUCGAUGGAUAGGGGUUCUGAGAGGAAGGUCCCCCACAUUGGAACUGAGACACGGUCCAAACUCCUACGGGAGGCAGCAGUGAGGAAUAUUGGUCAAUGGGCGCUAGCCUGAACCAGCCAAGUAGCGUGAAGGAUGAAGGCUCUAUGGGUCGUAAACUUCUUUUAUAUAAGAAUAAAGUGCAGUAUGUAUACUGUUUUGUAUGUAUUAUAUGAAUAAGGAUCGGCUAACUCCGUGCCAGCAGCCGCGGUAAUACGGAGGAUCCGAGCGUUAUCCGGAUUUAUUGGGUUUAAAGGGAGCGUAGGUGGACUGGUAAGUCAGUUGUGAAAGUUUGCGGCUCAACCGUAAAAUUGCAGUUGGUACUGUCAGUCUUGAGUACAGUAGAGGUGGGCGGAAUUCGUGGUGUAGCGGUGAAAUGCUUAGAUAUCACGAAGAACUCCGAUUGCGAAGGCAGCUCACUGGACUGCAACUGACACUGAUGCUCGAAAGUGUGGGUAUCAAACAGGAUUAGAUACCCUGGUAGUCCACACAGUAAACGAUUAAUACUCGCUGUUUGCGAUAUACAGUAAGCGGCCAAGCGGAAGCAUUAAGUAUUCCACCUGGGGAGUACGCCGGCAACGGUGAAACUCAAAGGAAUUGACGGGGGCCCGCACAAGCGGAGGAACAUGUGGUUUAAUUCGAUGAUACGCGAGGAACCUUACCCGGGCUUAAAUUGCAGUGGAAUGAUGUGGAAACAUGUCAGUGAGCAAUCACCGCUGUGAAGGUGCUGCAUGGUUGUCGUCAGCUCGUGCCGUGAGGUGUCGGCUUAAGUGCCAUAACGAGCGCAACCCUUAUCUUUAGUUACUAACAGGUUAUGCUGAGGACUCUAGAGAGACUGCCGUCGUAAGAUGUGAGGAAGGUGGGGAUGACGUCAAAUCAGCACGGCCCUUACGUCCGGGGCUACACACGUGUUACAAUGGGGGGUACAGAAGGCAGCUAGCGGGUGACCGUAUGCUAAUCCCAAAAUCCUCUCUCAGUUCGGAUCGAAGUCUGCAACCCGACUUCGUGAAGCUGGAUUCGCUAGUAAUCGCGCAUCAGCCACGGCGCGGUGAAUACGUUCCCGGGCCUUGUACACACCGCCCGUCAAGCCAUGGGAGCCGGGGGUACCUGAAGUACGUAACCGCAAGGAUCGUCCUAGGGUAAAACUGGUGACUGGGGCUA
Molecule: ribosomal RNA, 1445 nt
Filed under: uncultured organism
Description: SSU rRNA
Rfam family: Bacterial small subunit ribosomal RNA
Source: RNAcentral